RNAcentral lists this ribosomal RNA (453 nucleotides) under uncultured bacterium. RNAcentral's name for it is "partial 16S ribosomal RNA". It matches the Rfam family "Bacterial small subunit ribosomal RNA", at positions 28 to 506 of the family's 1533-position model. The record is from RNAcentral.
GAUGAACGCUGACAGAAUGCUUAACACAUGCAAGUCAACUUGAACUUCGGUUUGGGUGGCGGACGGGUGAGUAACGCGUAAAGAACUUGCCUCACAGAUAGGGACAACAUUUGGAAACGAAUGCUAAUACCUGAUACUAUGAUUAUAUGGCAUCGUAUAAUUAUGAAAGCUAUAUGCGCUGUGAGAGAGCUUUGCGUCCCAUUAGCUAGUUGGAGAGGUAACGGCUCACCAAGGCGAUGAUGGGUAGCCGGCCUGAGAGGGUGAUCGGCCACAAGGGGACUGAGACACGGCCCUUACUCCUACGGGAGGCAGCAGUGGGGAAUAUUGGACAAUGGACCAAGAGUCUGAUCCAGCAAUUCUGUGUGCACGAUGAAGUUUUUCGGAAUGUAAAGUGCUUUCAGUUGGGAAGAAAAAAAUGACGGUACCAACAGAAGAAGUGACGGCUAAAUACGU